GGGUUGUGAGGUUAAGCGACUAAGCGUACACGGUGGAUGCCCUGGCAGUCAGAGGCGAUGAAGGACGUGCUAAUCUGCGAUAAGCGUCGGUAAGGUGAUAUGAACCGUUAUAACCGGCGAUUUCCGAAUGGGGAAACCCAGUGUGUUUCGACACACUAUCAUUAACUGAAUCCAUAGGUUAAUGAGGCGAACCGGGGGAACUGAAACAUCUAAGUACCCCGAGGAAAAGAAAUCAACCGAGAUUCCCCCAGUAGCGGCGAGCGAACGGGGAGCAGCCCAGAGCCUGAAUCAGUGUGUGUGUUAGUGGAAGCGUCUGGAAAGGCGCGCGAUACAGGGUGACAGCCCCGUACACAAAAAUGCACAUGCUGUGAGCUCGAUGAGUAGGGCGGGACACGUGGUAUCCUGUCUGAAUAUGGGGGGACCAUCCUCCAAGGCUAAAUACUCCUGACUGACCGAUAGUGAACCAGUACCGUGAGGGAAAGGCGAAAAGAACCCCGGCGAGGGGAGUGAAAAAGAACCUGAAACCGUGUACGUACAAGCAGUGGGAGCACGCUUAGGCGUGUGACUGCGUACCUUUUGUAUAAUGGGUCAGCGACUUAUAUUCUGUAGCAAGGUUAACCGAAUAGGGGAGCCGAAGGGAAACCGAGUCUUAACUGGGCGUUAAGUUGCAGGGUAUAGACCCGAAACCCGGUGAUCUAGCCAUGGGCAGGUUGAAGGUUGGGUAACACUAACUGGAGGACCGAACCGACUAAUGUUGAAAAAUUAGCGGAUGACUUGUGGCUGGGGGUGAAAGGCCAAUCAAACCGGGAGAUAGCUGGUUCUCCCCGAAAGCUAUUUAGGUAGCGCCUCGUGAAUUCAUCUCCGGGGGUAGAGCACUGUUUCGGCAAGGGGGUCAUCCCGACUUACCAACCCGAUGCAAACUGCGAAUACCGGAGAAUGUUAUCACGGGAGACACACGGCGGGUGCUAACGUCCGUCGUGAAGAGGGAAACAACCCAGACCGCCAGCUAAGGUCCCAAAGUCAUGGUUAAGUGGGAAACGAUGUGGGAAGGCCCAGACAGCCAGGAUGUUGGCUUAGAAGCAGCCAUCAUUUAAAGAAAGCGUAAUAGCUCACUGGUCGAGUCGGCCUGCGCGGAAGAUGUAACGGGGCUAAACCAUGCACCGAAGCUGCGGCAGCGACGCUUAUGCGUUGUUGGGUA
This 1198-nucleotide ribosomal RNA is filed under the name Escherichia coli. RNAcentral describes it as "partial 23S ribosomal RNA". It matches the Rfam family "Bacterial large subunit ribosomal RNA", at positions 1 to 1230 of the family's 2925-position model. Lineage: Bacteria; Pseudomonadati; Pseudomonadota; Gammaproteobacteria; Enterobacterales; Enterobacteriaceae. The record is from RNAcentral.